This 396-nucleotide ribosomal RNA is filed under the name uncultured bacterium. RNAcentral's name for it is "partial 16S ribosomal RNA". It matches the Rfam family "Bacterial small subunit ribosomal RNA", at positions 523 to 918 of the family's 1533-position model. The record is from RNAcentral.
AUACGGAGGAUGCGAGCGUUAUCCGGAUUUAUUGGGUUUAAAGGGUGCGUAGGCGGGGCGAAAAGUCAGCGGUCAAAGUUCCGGGCUCAACCCGGUGACGCCGUUGAAACUUUCGUGCUGGAGUUCGUGCGAGGGAGGCGGAAUGCGUUGUGUAGCGGUGAAAUGCAUAGAUAUGACGCAGAACCCCGAUUGCGAAGGCAGCUUUCCAGCACGCGACUGACGCUGAGGCACGAAAGCGUGGGGAGCGAACAGGAUUAGAUACCCUGGUAGUCCACGCGGUAAACGAUGAAUACUAGCCCUGCGGCGCGAUUGGGUGCUGCGGGGGAGAGUGAAAACGUUAAGUAUUCCACCUGGGGAGUACGCCGGCAACGGUGAAACUCAAAGGAAUUGACGGGG